UGGGGAAUAUUGGACAAUGGGCGAAAGCCUGAUCCAGCCAUGCCGCGUGUGUGAAGAAGGUCUUCGGAUUGUAAAGCACUUUAAGUUGGGAGGAAGGGCAGUAAGCGAAUACCUUGCUGUUUUGACGUUACCGACAGAAUAAGCACCGGCUAACUCUGUGCCAGCAGCCGCGGUAAUACAGAGGGUGCAAGCGUUAAUCGGAAUUACUGGGCGUAAAGCGCGCGUAGGUGGUUCGUUAAGUUGAAUGUGAAAGACCCGGGCUCAACCUGGGAACUGCAUCCAAAACUGGCGAGCUAGAGUAGGGCAGAGGGUGGUGGAAUUUCCUGUGUAGCGGUGAAAUGCGUAGAUAUAGGAAGGAACACAAGUGGCGAAGGCGACCACCUGGGCUCAUACUGACACUGAGGUGCGAAAGCGUGGGGAGCAAACAGG
Molecule: ribosomal RNA, 429 nt
Filed under: Pseudomonadota bacterium
Lineage: Bacteria; Pseudomonadati; Pseudomonadota
Description: Proteobacteria bacterium partial 16S ribosomal RNA
Rfam family: Bacterial small subunit ribosomal RNA
Source: RNAcentral